RNA transcript from Epinephelus fuscoguttatus (brown-marbled grouper), 1654 nucleotides. It is a transcript of the gene named keratin, type I cytoskeletal 18-like, with no coding region annotated. The transcript is spliced from 7 exons. The record is from RefSeq and is a predicted model, not a curated record. Lineage: Eukaryota; Metazoa; Chordata; Actinopteri; Perciformes; Serranidae.
UUGCCAGCGUCACUUUCCAAGCCAGCCAGCAGUGAGUCUCCACGUCUCAUUUUUCACCUCAUUCUCUGUCGUGCCUAAACUUCUCCAAGAUGAGCUACAGGCCAUCCCAUGUCUCGAUGACCCGCUCCACACCCCAGUACCGUUCUUUCAGCGUUCAUGGUGGUCCUGGUGCAGUAGACCGCAGCCGCAUUUCCUCUGUCUCCACAUCUUUCCUGCGGUCCAGUGCCCCGAUCUCUUCCUCCUCUGCUUUCAGGGUGAGCAGUGGAGUGGGUAGUGGCAUGAGCUCAGGUUUUGGUGGUGCAUCCAUGGCAACUGGUGCUGGUGCUGGUGCUGGUGCUGGUGCCGGUGCUGGGAUCAUGGGCAAUGAGAGGGGAGCCAUGCAGAACCUGAACGACCGCCUGGCCAACUACCUGGAGACGGUGAGAAAUCUGGAGCGGGCCAACAAGGACCUGGAGAUGAAGAUCAAGGAGGCUCUGGAGAGGGGAGGGCCCGACAUGAGAGACUACAGCAAGUAUGAGCCCAUCAUAGAAGAUCUGCGCAGACAGAUCUUCGACAAGAUUGUGGACAACGCUCGUUUUGUGCUCCAGAUCGACAAUGCCCGUCUUGCUGCCGAUGACUUCAAAGUGAAGUUUGACAACGAGUUGGCAAUCCGUCAGUCUGUGGAGGCCGACAUUGCUGGGCUGAAGAAAGUCAUAGACGACACCAACAUGACCAGGAUGAACAUCGAGAGUGAGAUCGAAGCUGUGAAGGAGGAACUCGCCUUCCUAAAGAGGAACCAUGAGAAUGAGGUGAUGGAGCUAAGGAAUCAGAUCUCCCAAUCAGGCGUGCAAGUGGACGUCGACGCCCCCAAAGGUCAGGACCUGGCCCAGAUCAUGGAGGACAUGAGGGGUAACUAUGAGAAGAUUGCCAUGAAGAAUGCAGAGGAACUCAAACGGUGGCAUGAAAACCAGAUUGCAGAUGUGCAGGUGGAGGUAUCACAGAACACAGAAGCUCUCCAGGGAGCCCAGAUGGAGAGGGGUGACUUAUCCAGACAGAUACAGACUCUGGAAAUUGAACUUGCAUCCCAACAAAGCUUAAAAGCCUCCUUAGAGGACACACUACGCAACACAGAGCAACGAAACAACAUGGAGAUGGACAAGUACAACAACAUUAUUAUCCGUCUGGAGGAGGAGCUGACCAACUUGCGCGCAAACAUCCAGCAGCAGACCCACGAGUAUGAGGUGCUGCUCAACAUGAAGAUGAAACUGGAGGCUGAGAUCGCCACUUACAAGAGCCUGCUGGAUGGUGGAGACUUCAAGUAAGAUUUAGGUGGAGGAGAAAAAAAACAGAUCGAAGCAAGGUGUUGAUGGUGGUGGAGGCUCCAGGACGCACUGGAUGAGCUGGCGGCCACAAGCUAAUUUGGAACAAAGAAUCUGGGACCAGCCCAACAAUGAAAACAGAAAAACCCACAACUAUCCAUUAUGGAAAAAAAAUCCAUGCCGGGCCAAUUAACUAAAGCCAAAUUGAACCAAGAUCACAUACUGUGUAAACCAUAAAUGAUUUAAGCAGUAUUGAAUAAAGGCAUUCGGCCACACCGCAGUAACACAGGCAGGGCCAUUUGAAAAGAAACCACUGCCUGACCUGAAAGCAAAAUAAAACCACUUGUUGACCCACA